RNAcentral lists this ribosomal RNA (435 nucleotides) under uncultured bacterium. Its description in RNAcentral is "partial 16S ribosomal RNA". It matches the Rfam family "Bacterial small subunit ribosomal RNA", at positions 29 to 507 of the family's 1533-position model. The record is from RNAcentral.
AACGAACGCUGGCGGCAUGCCUAACACAUGCAAGUCGAACGAUUGCCUUCGGGUGAUAGUGGCGCACGGGUGCGUAACGCGUGGGAAUCUGCCCUUAGGUUCGGAAUAACAGCUGGAAACGGCUGCUAAUACCGGAUGAUAUCGCGAGAACAAAGAUUUAUCGCCUGAGGAUGAGCCCGCGUUGGAUUAGGUAGUUGGUGGGGUAAAGGCCUACCAAGCCGACGAUCCAUAGCUGGUCUGAGAGGAUGAUCAGCCACACUGGGACUGAGACACGGCCCAGACUCCUACGGGAGGCAGCAGUGGGGAAUAUUGGACAAUGGGCGCAAGCCUGAUCCAGCAAUGCCGCGUGAGUGAUGAAGGCCCUAGGGUUGUAAAGCUCUUUUACCCGGGAAGAUAAUGACUGUACCGGGAGAAUAAGCCCCGGCUAACUCCGUG